This is a non-coding RNA of Vicia faba (fava bean), 189 nucleotides long. The record is from the annotation of a GenBank genome assembly. NCBI's taxonomy places the organism in Eukaryota, Viridiplantae, Streptophyta, Magnoliopsida, Fabales, Fabaceae.
AUGGAAAAGCUCUCAAGCUGUAACCAACUUCAUAACCGUUUUCAUUCACAACUUCCUCUAUAUAAUAGAAAUUCAGAGAUUCAGGAGGGGGAUUCACAUCUCAAAGAUAUAAUUAUACACAAUCAUUAUCCAUUCACAUUUGAUUAUUCAGAACCUCACAGAAAAAUCCCAGAGAAAAAUCAAUUAUAG